UGCACUGUAUGGUAUCUGCACCCAGUGGCCUUUUCCCGUUGAGGUGUUCAUUAAACAGUGCAACACUAACUCUGCGACUGGCAUCGUUGGUUUGCAGGCCUUUCGUGUUUGUAAACCUGGUUUUUAUGCAGAAACAGUA
This is a small nucleolar RNA of Spea bombifrons (plains spadefoot toad), 139 nucleotides long. RefSeq annotates it as small nucleolar RNA SNORA8. The transcript has a single exon. Lineage: Eukaryota; Metazoa; Chordata; Amphibia; Anura; Pelobatidae. The record is from RefSeq and is a predicted model, not a curated record.